UAGUCCACGCCGUAAACGAUGAGUACUAGUUAUUAGAGGUAUUGACUCCUUUAGUGACGCAGCUAACGCAUUAAGUACUCCGCCUGGGAAGUACGGUCGCAAGACUAAAACUCAAAGGAAUUGACGGGGGCCCGCACAAGCGGUGGAUUAUGUGGUUUAAUUCGAAGCAACGCGCAGAACCUUACCAAGACUUGAAAUCCUAGGAAUCCGACGUAAUGGUUGGAGUGCUCGCAAGAGAAUCUAGUGACAGGUGCUGCAUGGCUGUCGUCAGCUCGUGUUGUGAAAUGUUGGGUUAAGUCUCGCAACGAGCGCAACCCCUAUCUUUAGUUGCCAGCAUUAAGUUGGGCACUCUAGAGAGACUGCCCGGGUUAACCGGGAGGAAGGUGGGGAUGACGUCAAGUCCUCAUGGCCCUUAUGUCUUGGGCUACACACGUAAUACAAUGGUGCAUACAAAGGGAAGCGACCUGGUGACAGCAAGCAAAUCUCAAAAAGUGCAUCUCAGUCCGG
RNAcentral lists this ribosomal RNA (507 nucleotides) under uncultured bacterium. RNAcentral's name for it is "bacterial SSU rRNA". It matches the Rfam family "Bacterial small subunit ribosomal RNA", at positions 791 to 1296 of the family's 1533-position model. The record is from RNAcentral.